This is a long non-coding RNA of Anoplopoma fimbria (sablefish), 358 nucleotides long. RefSeq lists it as uncharacterized. The record is from RefSeq and is a predicted model, not a curated record. Lineage: Eukaryota; Metazoa; Chordata; Actinopteri; Perciformes; Anoplopomatidae. The transcript has 3 exons.
AGAAGAAGAAGAGGAUUUAAUCCUGAUGGAGCUCAUCGUCCCACUCAGAUCAACAGAAAACUCUUUUUCCACACAGACCUGGUCCAGACAGCAGAGAGCUGCAGAGUGUUGAAGUUCAUGAGAAGAAACUGAGUGGCUGCAGGUUAUCACCAACAUGAAAAGGAUCCAUCAAAGACCAGAGUCCCCUGGACCUGAACCUGAACCCAGCUGUGUUUCCUCUGAGACUAAGCAGUCACACAAAGAUGGCAUUGAUUUUGAAAGACGUAAAUUCUCUUCUGCAAAGUAAGUAGAAAUUAAAUAAAAAAUGUACCUGACAGCUUCCCAGUAUAAUUGAUCUUCUACUGCUGAUAUUCAAGUA